RNAcentral lists this ribosomal RNA (468 nucleotides) under uncultured bacterium. Its description in RNAcentral is "partial 16S ribosomal RNA". It matches the Rfam family "Bacterial small subunit ribosomal RNA", at positions 28 to 507 of the family's 1533-position model. The record is from RNAcentral.
GACGAACGCUGGCGGCGUGCUUAACACAUGCAAGUCGAACGGAAAGGCCCUGCUUUUGUGGGGUGCUCGAGUGGCGAACGGGUGAGUAACCCGUGAGUAACCUGCCCUUGACUUUGGGAUAACUUCAGGAAACUGGGGCUAAUACCGGAUAGGAGCUCCUGCUGCAUGGUGGGGGUUGGAACGUUUCGGCGGAUGGGGAUGGACUCGCGGCUUAUCAGCUUGUUGGUGGGGUAGUGGCUUACCCAGGCUUUGACGGGUAGCCGGCCUGAGAGGGUGACCGGCCACAUUGGGACUGAGAGACGGACCAGACUCCUACGGGAGGCAGAAGUGGGGAAUAUUGCACAAUGGGCGGAAGCCUGAUGCAGCAACGCCGCGUGCGGGAUGACGGCCUUCGGGUUGUAAACCGCUGUCGCCUGUGACGAAGCGUGAGUGACGGUAAUGGGUAAAGAAGCACCGGCUAACUACGUG